Myxocyprinus asiaticus (Chinese sucker) is the source of this 666-nucleotide long non-coding RNA. RefSeq lists it as uncharacterized. Lineage: Eukaryota; Metazoa; Chordata; Actinopteri; Cypriniformes; Catostomidae. The transcript is spliced from 3 exons. The record is from RefSeq and is a predicted model, not a curated record.
CUGAACUGAGAUCCCACCUGUGACAGUCUGACCAGUCUACAGACACAUGCAGGACUCAAUGCCUGGAUGUCUGAGGGAGCAUGGACAUGUCAUCAGGCGGAGGACUACCAUAAACUAAGACUCCCCUUCUGGCCCCCAUAAACUAGAAGGCCAGAGGGGAACACAAGAGAGCAGAAGCAAAACUUCCAAUCCCUUGACUUUCUAAGCAGCUCCUCUGAAGAGCUGCCAGCUGCGCUUCCUUCACUGGGCCUCUGCAGGGGAACACAAGCCUUUGAAGUGGUUAUGGCAUGUAGAAGAAAGAAAGUCAUACACAUCUGGGAUGGCAUGAGGGUGAGUAAAUGAUGAGAGAAUUUUCAUUUUUGGGUGAACUAUCCCUUUAACAUUUUCCACCGAAAGAAAUUAUACCUCAUGUUUAAGAGAACAGGUAUUUAUUUCAUUUCAUUUCGGUGUGUCUGCCAGGACAGUUUAAACAAAUUGUGAAGCAAGUAACAUAGGAUGUUUACCAUGUUGGUGAGCUCUUUGGCCAUUUUUAAAACAUCUUUCCUUUAAAAGUAUUCUGAUGGAAUUGACUACUUGGUCUGAUGCCUGCAUCAGUUCUGCUAAAGUAUUCCUUCACCAAUAGCUCCAGACAUCGCCAAGACAUUCAACAUACCUAAUUAAACUUAA